Molecule: ribosomal RNA, 497 nt
Filed under: uncultured bacterium
Lineage: Bacteria
Description: partial 16S ribosomal RNA
Rfam family: Bacterial small subunit ribosomal RNA
Source: RNAcentral
GAUGAACGCUGGCGGCGUGCCUAAUACAUGCAAGUCGAGCGAACAGACGAGGAGCUUGCUCCUCUGACGUUAGCGGCGGACGGGUGAGUAACACGUGGAUAACCUACCUAUAAGACUGGGAUAACUUCGGGACACCGGAGCUAAUACCGGAUAAUAUAUUGAACCGCAUGGUUCAAUAGUGAAAGACGGUUUUGCUGUCACUUAUAGAUGGAUCCGCGCCGCAUUAGCUAGUUGGUAAGGUAACGGCUUACCAAGGCAACGAUGCGUAGCCGACCUGAGAGGGUGAUCGGCCACACUGGAACUGAGACACGGUCCAGACUCCUACGGGAGGCAGCAGUAGGGAAUCUUCCGCAAUGGGCGAAAGCCUGACGGAGCAACGCCGCGUGAGUGAUGAAGGUCUUGGGAUCGUAAAACUCUGUUAUUAGGGAAGAACAAAUGUGUAAGUAACUAUGCACGUCUUGACGGUACCUAAUCAGAAAGCCACGGCUAACUACGUG